AGAGGCAUUGUGCUCCAAUGGU
This 22-nucleotide non-coding RNA is filed under the name Arabidopsis thaliana (thale cress). Lineage: Eukaryota; Viridiplantae; Streptophyta; Magnoliopsida; Brassicales; Brassicaceae. The record is from RNAcentral.